ACUCAAAGGAAUUGACGGGGGCCCGCACAAGCGGUGGAACAUGUGGUUCAAUUCGACGCAACGCGAAGAACCUUACCUGGGCUUGAACCGCACAGGACCAUUCCUAGAAAUAGGGACUUCCCGCAAGGGACCUGUGUAGAGGUGCUGCAUGGCUGUCGUCAGCUCGUGCCGUGAGGUGUUGGGUUAAGUCCCGCAACGAGCGCAACCCUUACUCGUAGUUGCCACCCGCAAGGGGGAACUCUACGAGGACUGCUCCGGAUAACGGAGAGGAAGGUGGGGAUGAGGUCAAGUCAGCAUGGCCUUUAUGUCCAGGGCUACACACGUGUUACAAUGCAUGCCACAAAGCGUCGCGAACUCGUGAGAGGGAGCUAAUCGCAAAAAAGCAUGCUCAGUUCGGAUUGCAGUCUGCAACUCGACUGCAUGAAGCCGGAAUCGCUAGUAAUGGCGCAUCAGAACGGCGCCGUGAAUACGUUCCCGGGCCUUGUACACACCGCCCGU
Molecule: ribosomal RNA, 498 nt
Filed under: uncultured bacterium
Lineage: Bacteria
Description: bacterial SSU rRNA
Rfam family: Bacterial small subunit ribosomal RNA
Source: RNAcentral